CAGGUGGUCAGGUAGAGAAUACCAAGGCGCUUGAGAGAACUCGGGUGAAGGAACUAGGCAAAAUGGUGCCGUAACUUCGGGAGAAGGCACGCUGACACGUAGGUGAAGUGAUUUACUCAUGGAGCUGAAGUCAGUCGAAGAUACCAGCUGGCUGCAACUGUUUAUUAAAAACACAGCACUGUGCAAACACGAAAGUGGACGUAUACGGUGUGACGCCUGCCCGGUGCCGGAAGGUUAAUUGAUGGGGUCAGCGCAAGCGAAGCUCCUGAUCGAAGCCCCGGUAAACGGCGGCCGUAACUAUAACGGUCCUAAGGUAGCGAAAUUCCUUGUCGGGUAAGUUCCGACCUGCACGAAUGGCGUAAUGAUGGCCAGGCUGUCUCCACCCGAGACUCAGUGAAAUUGAACUCGCUGUGAAGAUGCAGUGUACCCGCGGCAAGACGGAAAGACCCCGUGAACCUUUACUAUAGCUUGACACUGAACAUUGAGCCUUGAUGUGUAGGAUAGGUGGGAGGCUUUGAAGUGUGGACGCCAGUCUGCAUGGAGCCAACCUUGAAAUACCACCCUUUAAUGUUUGAUGUUCUAACGUGGACCCGUAAUCCGGGUUGCGGACAGUGUCUGGUGGGUAGUUUGACUGGGGCGGUCUCCUCCUAAAGAGUAACGGAGGAGCACGAAGGUUGGCUAAUCCUGGUCGGACAUCAGGAGGUUAGUGCAAUGGCAUAAGCCAGCUUGACUGCGAGCGUGACGGCGCGAGCAGGUGCGAAAGCAGGUCAUAGUGAUCCGGUGGUUCUGAAUGGAAGGGCCAUCGCUCAACGGAUAAAAGGUACUCCGGGGAUAACAGGCUGAUACCGCCCAAGAGUUCAUAUCGACGGCGGUGUUUGGCACCUCGAUGUCGGCUCAUCACAUCCUGGGGCUGAAGUAGGUCCCAAGGGUAUGGCUGUUCGCCAUUUAAAGUGGUACGCGAGCUGGGUUUAGAACGUCGUGAGACAGUUCGGUCCCUAUCUGCCGUGGGCGCUGGAGAACUGAGGGGGGCUGCUCCUAGUACGAGAGGACCGGAGUGGACGCAUCACUGGUGUUCGGGUUGUCAUGCCAAUGGCACUGCCCGGUAGCUAAAUGCGGAAGAGAUAAGUGCUGAAAGCAUCUAAGCACGAAACUUGCCCCGAGAUGAGUUCUCCCUGAGACUUAAAGUCUCCUGAAGGAACGUUGAAGACGACGACGUUGAUAGGCCGGGUGUGUAAGCGCAGCGAUGCGUUGAGCUAACCGGUACUAAUGAACCGUGAGGCUUAACCUUACAACGCCGAAGGUGUUU
Molecule: ribosomal RNA, 1306 nt
Filed under: Salmonella enterica subsp. enterica
Lineage: Bacteria; Pseudomonadati; Pseudomonadota; Gammaproteobacteria; Enterobacterales; Enterobacteriaceae
Description: partial 23S ribosomal RNA
Rfam family: Bacterial large subunit ribosomal RNA
Source: RNAcentral